This 253-nucleotide ribosomal RNA is filed under the name uncultured bacterium. RNAcentral describes it as "partial 16S ribosomal RNA". It matches the Rfam family "Bacterial small subunit ribosomal RNA", at positions 524 to 776 of the family's 1533-position model. The record is from RNAcentral.
UACAUGGGGUGCAAACGUUGCUCGGAAUUAUUGGGCGUAAAGCGCGUGUAGGCGGCCCUGCAAGUCGGGUGUGAAAUCCCACGGCUCAACCGUGGAAGUGCACUCGAAACUGCAGGGCUAGAGUCCUGGAGAGGAAGGUGGAAUGCUUGGUGUAGAGGUGAAAUUCGUAGAUAUCAAGCGGAACACCGGUGGCGAAGGCGGCCUUCUGGACAGUGACUGACGCUGAGACGCGAAAGCGUGGGGAGCAAACAGG